UACGGAGGGGACUAGCGUUGUUCGGAAUUACUGGGCGUAAAGCGCACGUAGGCGGAUUUGUAAGUCAGGGGUGAAAUCCCGGGGCUCAACCUCGGAACUGCCUUUGAUACUGCAAAUCUCGAGUCCGGAAGAGGUGAGUGGAAUUCCCAGUGUAGCGGUGAAAUGCGUAGAUAUUGGGAGGAACACCGGUGGCGAAGGCGGCCCCCUGGGCUGGUACUGACGCUGAUGCGCGAAAGCGUGGGUAGCAAACGGG
Molecule: ribosomal RNA, 253 nt
Filed under: uncultured bacterium
Lineage: Bacteria
Description: partial 16S ribosomal RNA
Rfam family: Bacterial small subunit ribosomal RNA
Source: RNAcentral